AAUUAGGCUGUUUUCAAAGCCACAACUUAGUCAACAACAAUAUAUGU
Non-coding RNA from Anisakis simplex (herring worm), 47 nucleotides. The record is from Rfam. Lineage: Eukaryota; Metazoa; Nematoda; Chromadorea; Rhabditida; Anisakidae.